Molecule: ribosomal RNA, 465 nt
Filed under: Vreelandella stevensii
Lineage: Bacteria; Pseudomonadati; Pseudomonadota; Gammaproteobacteria; Oceanospirillales; Halomonadaceae
Description: partial 16S ribosomal RNA
Rfam family: Bacterial small subunit ribosomal RNA
Source: RNAcentral
CCUACGGGAGGCAGCAGUGGGGAAUAUUGGACAAUGGGGGGAACCCUGAUCCAGCCAUACCGCGUGUGUGAAGAAGGCCCUCGGGUUGUAAAGCACUUUCAGUGAGGAAGAACGCCUGGUGGUUAAUACCCAUCAGGAAAGACAUCACUCACAGAAGAAGCACCGGCUAACUCCGUGCCAGCAGCCGCGGUAAUACGGAGGGUGCGAGCGUUAAUCGGAAUUACUGGGCGUAAAGCGCGCGUAGGUGGCUUGAUAAGCCGGUUGUGAAAGCCCCGGGCUCAACCUGGGAACGGCAUCCGGAACUGUCAAGCUAGAGUGCAGGAGAGGAAGGUAGAAUUCCCGGUGUAGCGGUGAAAUGCGUAGAGAUCGGGAGGAAUACCAGUGGCGAAGGCGGCCUUCUGGACUGACACUGACACUGAGGUGCGAAAGCGUGGGUAGCAAACAGGAUUAGAUACCCUAGUAGUC